This 253-nucleotide ribosomal RNA is filed under the name uncultured bacterium. RNAcentral's name for it is "partial 16S ribosomal RNA". It matches the Rfam family "Bacterial small subunit ribosomal RNA", at positions 524 to 776 of the family's 1533-position model. The record is from RNAcentral.
UACGGAGGAUGCAAGCGUUAUCCGGAAUGAUUGGGCGUAAAGCGUCUGUAGGUGGUUUGAUAAGUCCACUGUCAAAGAUCAGGGCUUAACCCUGAGCAGGCAGUAGAAACUAUGAGGCUUGAGUACGGUAGGGGCAGAGGGAAUUCCCGGUGUAGCGGUGAAAUGCGUAGAGAUCGGGAAGAACACCAAUGGCGAAAGCACUCUGCUGGGCCGAAACUGACACUGAGAGACGAAAGCUAGGGGAGCAAAUGGG